CUUCACCAAUGCUAAGUGUACGGAUUUGUCAGUACCGAACUCGUCUACCUGCACUGAAGAACUAGAAAUACAUGACAGAAUUUGUAAUUACAAAAACAUUUAUGAAACAAUAGAAAGGUUAGGAACUUUGUCAUGUUC
Molecule: long non-coding RNA, 138 nt
Organism: Cucurbita moschata (crookneck pumpkin)
Lineage: Eukaryota; Viridiplantae; Streptophyta; Magnoliopsida; Cucurbitales; Cucurbitaceae
Exons: 3
Source: RefSeq, a predicted model, not a curated record